CCUGAUCCAGCAAUGCCGCGUGUGUGAAGAAGGCCUUCGGGUUGUAAAGCACUUUUGUCCGGAAAGAAAUCCUUGGUUCUAAUAUAGCCGGGGGAUGACGGUACCGGAAGAAUAAGCACCGGCUAACUACGUGCCAGCAGCCGCGGUAAUACGUAGGGUGCAAGCGUUAAUCGGAAUUACUGGGCGUAAAGCGUGCGCAGGCGGUUUGUUAAGACCGAUGUGAAAUCCCCGGGCUCAACCUGGGAACUGCAUUGGUGACUGGCAAGCUAGAGUAUGGCAGAGGGGGGUAGAAUUCCACGUGUAGCAGUGAAAUGCGUAGAGAUGUGGAGGAAUACCGAUGGCGAA
RNAcentral lists this ribosomal RNA (345 nucleotides) under Burkholderia ambifaria. RNAcentral's name for it is "bacterial SSU rRNA". It matches the Rfam family "Bacterial small subunit ribosomal RNA", at positions 382 to 719 of the family's 1533-position model. Lineage: Bacteria; Pseudomonadati; Pseudomonadota; Betaproteobacteria; Burkholderiales; Burkholderiaceae. The record is from RNAcentral.